This 406-nucleotide unclassified non-coding RNA is filed under the name soil metagenome. Its description in RNAcentral is "partial contains 5.8S ribosomal RNA, internal transcribed spacer 2, and large subunit ribosomal RNA". The stretch from base 1 to 121 matches the Rfam family "5.8S ribosomal RNA", at positions 35 to 154 of the family's 154-position model. The record is from RNAcentral.
GAUGAAGAACGCAGCGAAAUGCGAUAAGUAAUGUGAAUUGCAGAAUUCAGUGAAUCAUCGAAUCUUUGAACGCACCUUGCGCCCUUUGGCCAUUCCGAAGGGCAUGCCUGUUUGAGUAUCAUGAACACCUCAACUCUUCAUGGUUUUCCAUGAUGAGCUUGGACUUUGGGGGUCUUGCUGGCCUGUGGGUCGGCUCCUCUCAAAUGAAUCAGUUUGCCAGUUUUUGGUGGGCAUCACAGGUGUGAUAACUAUCUACGCUUGUGGUUUUCCACCAGGGUAACCUUCAGCAGUGGAGGUUCACUGGAGCUUACAAAUGUCUCUCCUCUGUGAGGACAGCCCUUUGAAUGUUUGAUCUCAAAUCAGGUAGGACUACCCGCUGAACUUAAGCAUAUCAAUAAGCGGAGGA